This 205-nucleotide unclassified non-coding RNA is filed under the name Hevea brasiliensis (rubber tree). The record is from RNAcentral. Lineage: Eukaryota; Viridiplantae; Streptophyta; Magnoliopsida; Malpighiales; Euphorbiaceae.
AAAAAAAAAAAAAAAAAACACAAAUCUUUAAUUAAUUGCCCCUUGAUUACACCGAACUGGUAGGUGAAAGUUGCCAAAUUGGUGUCUCAGCAUUCAUUUGCACCGAUCUAACCCCAACGUCAAAAAAACCAAAAAUUUGAAAUUUAUAGCUGCGAAUCUUUCAGUAAUAGACUAAUAGUAAUAUCUAUAGAACCCAUUUGAAUUC